Molecule: ribosomal RNA, 1247 nt
Filed under: Microbacterium paraoxydans
Lineage: Bacteria; Bacillati; Actinomycetota; Actinomycetes; Micrococcales; Microbacteriaceae
Description: bacterial SSU rRNA
Rfam family: Bacterial small subunit ribosomal RNA
Source: RNAcentral
AGAUUUUUCGGUUGGGGAGGGGCUCGCGGCCUAUCAGCUUGUUGGUGAGGUAAUGGCUCACCAAGGCGUCGACGGGUAGCCGGCCUGAGAGGGUGACCGGCCACACUGGGACUGAGACACGGCCCAGACUCCUACGGGAGGCAGCAGUGGGGAAUAUUGCACAAUGGGCGGAAGCCUGAUGCAGCAACGCCGCGUGAGGGAUGACGGCCUUCGGGUUGUAAACCUCUUUUAGCAGGGAAGAAGCGAAAGUGACGGUACCUGCAGAAAAAGCGCCGGCUAACUACGUGCCAGCAGCCGCGGUAAUACGUAGGGCGCAAGCGUUAUCCGGAAUUAUUGGGCGUAAAGAGCUCGUAGGCGGUUUGUCGCGUCUGCUGUGAAAUCCCGAGGCUCAACCUCGGGCCUGCAGUGGGUACGGGCAGACUAGAGUGCGGUAGGGGAGAUUGGAAUUCCUGGUGUAGCGGUGGAAUGCGCAGAUAUCAGGAGGAACACCGAUGGCGAAGGCAGAUCUCUGGGCCGUAACUGACGCUGAGGAGCGAAAGGGUGGGGAGCAAACAGGCUUAGAUACCCUGGUAGUCCACCCCGUAAACGUUGGGAACUAGUUGUGGGGUCCAUUCCACGGAUUCCGUGACGCAGCUAACGCAUUAAGUUCCCCGCCUGGGGAGUACGGCCGCAAGGCUAAAACUCAAAGGAAUUGACGGGGACCCGCACAAGCGGCGGAGCAUGCGGAUUAAUUCGAUGCAACGCGAAGAACCUUACCAAGGCUUGACAUAUACGAGAACGGGCCAGAAAUGGUCAACUCUUUGGACACUCGUAAACAGGUGGUGCAUGGUUGUCGUCAGCUCGUGUCGUGAGAUGUUGGGUUAAGUCCCGCAACGAGCGCAACCCUCGUUCUAUGUUGCCAGCACGUAAUGGUGGGAACUCAUGGGAUACUGCCGGGGUCAACUCGGAGGAAGGUGGGGAUGACGUCAAAUCAUCAUGCCCCUUAUGUCUUGGGCUUCACGCAUGCUACAAUGGCCGGUACAAAGGGCUGCAAUACCGUGAGGUGGAGCGAAUCCCAAAAAGCCGGUCCCAGUUCGGAUUGAGGUCUGCAACUCGACCUCAUGAAGUCGGAGUCGCUAGUAAUCGCAGAUCAGCAACGCUGCGGUGAAUACGUUCCCGGGUCUUGUACACACCGCCCGUCAAGUCAUGAAAGUCGGUAACACCUGAAGCCGGUGGCCUAACCCUUGUGGAGGGAGCCGUCGAAGGUG